Long non-coding RNA from Stegodyphus dumicola, 1609 nucleotides. The record is from RefSeq and is a predicted model, not a curated record. NCBI's taxonomy places the organism in Eukaryota, Metazoa, Arthropoda, Arachnida, Araneae, Eresidae.
UUCGAACUUAUUCUCUUUCAGUGCCCAAGAGCAAACAUCUGAUGACAGCCGGAACACAUCAAGCAGAAUGCUUGAUAAUCUCGGCAUAAGUGUAACUUGGAACUAACUUGAUAAUCUUAACUGUGUUGAAAUCAAAGGCAUAGGGGCUGACUAGUGUCUGAGAAAAAAAAUUCACAGCAUGCUUUGUUUCCGAGGCUGCAACCAAAUUGUUUCACCUUAACCAUGGGGAAUUUAAAGGCAAGAUUAACAUUCUCCUUUCCUUCCUUUUCAAAACCCGAAAAAAUACGUAUACAUUUAUUUAAAUUUAGAUUUUCUUAAUGUGUUUUAUAAAUUAAACAAGGAAAAGUAUAGAAAAUAUUGAUAAAUAUAAAAACUUGAAAAAAAGUAGUUUUUUUUUAAUGUUCAUGAACUAAAAGCAUUUAACAGGUAAAUAAAAGCUGGCCAAAUUUCCACCUCCGCCUGAAACUAUGAAAUUCCUUUUUGAGUGGAGAACCCACUGGCUUAAAGACUUGUUAUUGUUACAAAUUAAGAGAUAGUAACAAUUGUUCUUCAUGUUCUGCCUCAAAUUUGUAUUUGUAUUUCAAAACCACUUUAAUUUUGAAAUUAUAAAUCUGUACAUUCGUUCACAAAUUUCGGUCAGUUUUGUCAUUUGUUUCUGUUUUCUAAAACUUGAAUAUAUAUCUGUAUUUUUGUGUGCUUAGGUAAAUUAUUUGUUAUUUAACUUAAUCUAGUAUUUUUAACCCUGUGAUAUAAAACUAUUUUCCCCCUCUUUGCAGGUUCAACAAUUAAAAAUUCACAUAUGUAUCAAGCUUUCUUUAGAACUGAGAAGUUAUCUGUGGGAAUAAACCUCUACCAUUGUUUAUUUUGUAAAUACACUUCCAGAUACCUAACUAAUGUGCGCCGCCAUAUUUUAAUUCACACUGGACAGAAACCAUAUCAGUGUGAAAUAUGUGGUGUAAAAUUUAGACAGAAGGAACAUUUAAAAGGCCAUGUUUUCAUGAAGCAUAAUGUUAAAUUUGGACAAUAAGACUGCCAACAUUUUAAUUUCAAGUUACGGUCAUUCCUCAAAAUGUGUUAACUGCAGACAUCUCUUACUACCGUAUUAUUCGAACGCACCUUCGAAAAACUGAUUAAAAUUUGAGUAGCAUUUUAGAUUUAGAAAAGAGGCGAUACGUAUUAUAAACUGGAAUAAGAAGAUUCUAAAAGAAAUUAAUGCAGAAUUAUAUGUCAUUCCUAAUGGUCUGACAUAUCAGUUGCAGCCUCUAAACUGAGUGAUAAACCAUUUAAAGCUUUUAUAUGGAAAGAGCAGAACGAAUGGUUAGCGAAAUAAAGAUUGACACGGCCGACAAGAUGUCUGCUCCGUGGUGGAAAAUCGUGGAAAGCUAUAAAGAAAAAACUACGAAACCUUUUUAAAAAUGUAAUAAUUAACACAUUGGAGUGUACCUAAGGUAAUAGAUAUAGUUUUGGAAAAAUUAGUAAUAAUUCGUUAAGUGACAGUAACAAAAUACUUAAAGAUGAAUUGAAUGUUGAUGAGACAAGUAAUGAUAAUAUUUUUUUUUAAAAAUUAAAAGUUUGUAAAUAUUUAAUGGAAUAAAAUAUUUUUUCUUAA